CAAUUUUAACGUUUAUAUAGAUUAUGGAAUUAUGGAUUCUGAUUAAUUUAAGGGUUGUAAUUUAGGGGUUAUAGAUUAAGAGUCAGGGAUUUAAGGUUUAUGGAUUCGGUGUCAGGUUAGGCUUUAGGGUUUAGAUUAAUUAGUGUGUUUUAAUUUUUAUAAAAAUAUGGUUUAAGGGUUAGGGGUUAGGGAUUCGGGUUAGGAUUUAGGGUUUUGAUUAAUUAAUAUUUUUUAAUUUAUGUAUUAAAUAAGGUUUAGGGUUAGUACAAGUUAGGGUCGGGUUAGUGGUUUAAGGGUUAGAAGAUAAGAGUUAGUGAUUUAGGGUUUAAAAAUUCGGGGUCAGGUUAGGCCUAUUGGGAACUGUAAUGGCGCUGCAAAAUUUUUAAUUUAUUUAAG
Molecule: long non-coding RNA, 396 nt
Filed under: Gossypium raimondii (Peruvian cotton)
Lineage: Eukaryota; Viridiplantae; Streptophyta; Magnoliopsida; Malvales; Malvaceae
Description: long non-coding RNA (GRAI_LNC009140)
Source: RNAcentral